Molecule: ribosomal RNA, 440 nt
Filed under: uncultured bacterium
Lineage: Bacteria
Description: partial 16S ribosomal RNA
Rfam family: Bacterial small subunit ribosomal RNA
Source: RNAcentral
CCUACGGGCGGCAGCAGUACGGAAUAUUGCUCAAUGGGGGAAACCCUGAAGCAGCAACGCCGCGUGGAGGAUGAAGGUUUUCGGAUUGUAAACUCCUUUUGUUAGAGAAGAUAAUGACGGUAUCUAACGAAUAAGCACCGGCUAACUCCGUGCCAGCAGCCGCGGUAAUACGGAGGGUGCAAGCGUUACUCGGAAUCACUGGGCGUAAAGAGCGCGUAGGCGGGAUAGCAAGUCAGAUGUGAAAUCCUAUGGCUUAACCAUAGAACUGCAUUUGAAACUGUUAUUCUAGAGUGUGGGAGAGGUAGGUGGAAUUCUUGGUGUAGGGGUAAAAUCCGUAGAGAUCAAGAGGAAUACUCAUUGCGAAGGCGACCUGCUAGAACGUAACUGACGCUGAUGCGCGAAGGCGUGGGGAGCAAACAGGAUUAGAUACCCGUGUAGUC